This 433-nucleotide ribosomal RNA is filed under the name uncultured bacterium. RNAcentral describes it as "partial 16S ribosomal RNA". It matches the Rfam family "Bacterial small subunit ribosomal RNA", at positions 29 to 507 of the family's 1533-position model. The record is from RNAcentral.
AACGAACGCUGGCGGCAUGCCUAACACAUGCAAGUCGAACGAGACCUUCGGGUCUAGUGGCGCACGGGUGCGUAACGCGUGGGAACCUGCCCUUAGGUUCGGAAUAACUCCCCGAAAGGGGUGCUAAUACCGGAUAAUGUCUUCGGACCAAAGAUUUAUCGCCUUUGGAUGGGCCCGCGUUGGAUUAGCUAGUUGGUAGGGUAAAAGCCUACCAAGGCGACGAUCCAUAGCUGGUCUGAGAGGAUGAUCAGCCACACUGGGACUGAGACACGGCCCAGACUCCUACGGGAAGCAGCAGUGGGGAAUAUUGGACAAGGGGCGAAAGCCUGAUCCAGCAAUGCCGCGUGAGUGAUGAAGGCCUUAGGGUUGUAAAGCUCUUUUACCCGGGAUGAUAAUGACAGUACGGGGAGAAUAAGCUCCGGCUAACUCCGUG